GUAGGUGGCAAGCGUUGUCCGGAAUUAUUGGGCGUAAAGCGCGCGCAGGCGGUUCUUUAAGUCUGAUGUGAAAGCCCACGGCUCAACCGUGGAGGGUCAUUGGAAACUGGAGAACUUGAGUACAGAAGAGGAAAGCGGAAUUCCACGUGUAGCGGUGAAAUGCGUAGAGAUGUGGAGGAACACCAGUGGCGAAGGCGGCUUUCCGGUCUGUAACUGACGCUGAGGCGCGAAAGCGUGGGGAGCAAACAGGGAUUAGAUACCCUGGUAGUCCACGCCGUAAACGACGAGUGCUAAGUGUUAGGGGGUUUCCCGCCCCCUUAGUGCUGCAGCUAACGCAUUAAGCACUCCGCCUGGGGAGUACGGCCGCAAGGCUG
This 374-nucleotide ribosomal RNA is filed under the name uncultured organism. Its description in RNAcentral is "partial 16S ribosomal RNA". It matches the Rfam family "Bacterial small subunit ribosomal RNA", at positions 527 to 896 of the family's 1533-position model. The record is from RNAcentral.